RNAcentral lists this non-coding RNA (31 nucleotides) under Rattus norvegicus (Norway rat). The record is from RNAcentral. Lineage: Eukaryota; Metazoa; Chordata; Mammalia; Rodentia; Muridae.
UGAAAAUGUGCCUCCUGGAGACAGCUCUGGA